GACGAAGGGUGCAAGCGUUAUCCGGAUUCAUUGGGCUUAAAGGGCGCGCAGGCGGUCUUAUAAGUCAGUGGUGAAAUCCUGUCGCUUAACGAUAGAAUUGCCAUUGAUACUGUAGGACUUGAGUACAGUUGCCGUUGGCGGAAUAUGACAUGUAGUGGUGAAAUACAUAGAUAUGUCAUAGAGCACCGAUUGCGAAGGCAGCUGACGGAGCUGUAACUGACACUGAGGCUCGAAAGUGUGGGGAUCAAACAGG
Molecule: ribosomal RNA, 253 nt
Filed under: uncultured bacterium
Lineage: Bacteria
Description: partial 16S ribosomal RNA
Rfam family: Bacterial small subunit ribosomal RNA
Source: RNAcentral